CAUUAAACGGCUUCGCAUAAAAAACGAUCUACCGUUCGGAGGCGGCAUAAGCAAAGCAGUAGGUCCCUCCAAAAUGCAGUCAUGCAGCCUAAAGCCAAGGCGCUUUCAACAAGUGAUAAGUGAUUCCAAAUUUCUCUCUUUUGAACUGCGACUAAAAUGCCAAUUCUUAAUCAUUAACAAAUCGUAAUUUUCAUUUCUGAUUUUUUAAAUAUUAAAAUGAAAAAAAAUUUUAAAGUUAUGGGAUACAGUUUUAAAACAAAGAGUAUGAGGCUAAACGAUUUAUUUCGAAAGUUAUCACAGAGAGAAAUAUCUUUCGAUCAAAAGCAGCUCAAAGUUUAAGGAGAAAGCUGAACAUCGAGUGGAGCUUUCAAAUAGACGAAAGUUGAACGAAAAUAUUGAUUUAAUUUUACAAAAUAUGGAUGAGAAAAAUAAACAGACGUUAUGGAAAAGAAGUCUUAAAGUUUAACGUAUAUACAAAAAAUUAGAUCACAAUAACGGUAAAAGUUAUUUAAAUGAUA
Anastrepha obliqua is the source of this 518-nucleotide long non-coding RNA. RefSeq lists it as uncharacterized. The transcript is spliced from 3 exons. NCBI's taxonomy places the organism in Eukaryota, Metazoa, Arthropoda, Insecta, Diptera, Tephritidae. The record is from RefSeq and is a predicted model, not a curated record.